This 739-nucleotide long non-coding RNA is filed under the name Salmo salar (Atlantic salmon). Its description in RNAcentral is "lncRNA (ENSSSAG00000112183.1)". Lineage: Eukaryota; Metazoa; Chordata; Actinopteri; Salmoniformes; Salmonidae. The record is from RNAcentral.
GCAUAAUGAACGCUAAGUACUUGGUGUUAUUUGGACAUAAAUUAUGAACUUUGUCAAAAGAAACCACAUUUGUUCCGGACCUGGAAUGCCUUCCGGACCUGGGAUCCUGCCUUCUGAUGGAGAUAAUCAAAGAGCAUACAACCAUGCCGACAACCAUCCGUGAAGAUCAGUGGACAAAGGGCUGGACAACGGGACACACCGAAAAAAACUCAUGGUUGCCAAACCCUUUCUGGCAUGUCACUGGAGCAGAAUAUUCCUUUAGAGCUGAAGACAUCACACGUUCUGAAAGAGCUGUCACAAAUGAUCUGGUAAGAAAAAUACGGCAUGAGUCCCCCUGAGCACAAAACGACAAUGGUAAAGAGGUUCCAGAGGAAUAAAAUGCUUUUUCAAAGGCGAUGAUGUUUGACAAAAAGCUCCGACAUGGCAAAAGGGAAGAAAAACACAACAAAAACAACAACUGCUGUCUUCCUCUCUUAGCAUCUACUGUAGCUACAGUGCCUUCAGAAAGUUUUCACACCUCCUUUCUUUUUUCACAUUUUGUUGUGUUACAGCCUGAAUUUAAAAUUGACUGCAUUUAGAUUUUGUGUCACUGAUCUACACACAAUGCCCCAUAAUGUCAAGGUGGAUUUUUGUUUGUAGUACAUUUUAAAAAUGAAUAACAAAUUGAAAGCUGAAAUGUCUUUAGUCAAUAAGUAUUCAACCCCCUUGUUAUGGCCAUAGCCGCUGGAAGAUGUUUGGG